This 468-nucleotide ribosomal RNA is filed under the name uncultured bacterium. RNAcentral describes it as "partial 16S ribosomal RNA". It matches the Rfam family "Bacterial small subunit ribosomal RNA", at positions 28 to 507 of the family's 1533-position model. The record is from RNAcentral.
GACGAACGCUGGCGGCGUGCUUAACACAUGCAAGUCGAACGGAAAGGCCCUGCUUUUGUGGGGUGCUCGAGUGGCGAACGGGUGAGUAACACGUGAGUAACCUGCCCUUGACUUUGGGAUAACUUCGGGAAACUGGGGCUAAUACCGGAUAGGAGCUCCUGCUGCAUGGUGGGGUUUGGAAAGUUUCGGCGGUUGGGGAUGGACUCGCGGCUUAUCAGCUUGUUGGUGGGGUAGUGGCUUACCAAGGCUUCGACGGGUAGCCGGCCUGAGAGGGUGACCGGCCACAUUGGGACUGAGAUACGGCCCAGACUCCUACGGGAGGCAGCAGUGGGGAAUAUUGCACAAUGGGCGGAAGCCUGAUGCAGCAACGCCGCGUGCGGGAUGACGGCCUUCGGGUUGUAAACCGCUUUCGCCUGUGACGAAGCGUGAGUGACGGUAAUGGGUAAAGAAGCACCGGCUAACUACGUG